GGGAAAGUAGCUUAGUGGUAGAGUGCUUGCCUAGCAAGCAUGAAGCCCUGGGUUCGAUUCCUCAGUACCA
This 70-nucleotide transfer RNA is filed under the name Dipodomys ordii (Ord's kangaroo rat). It matches the Rfam family "tRNA". From Rfam's summary of the family: Transfer RNA (tRNA) molecules are approximately 80 nucleotides in length. Lineage: Eukaryota; Metazoa; Chordata; Mammalia; Rodentia; Heteromyidae. The record is from Rfam by way of RNAcentral.